RNAcentral lists this ribosomal RNA (468 nucleotides) under uncultured bacterium. RNAcentral describes it as "partial 16S ribosomal RNA". It matches the Rfam family "Bacterial small subunit ribosomal RNA", at positions 28 to 507 of the family's 1533-position model. The record is from RNAcentral.
GACGAACGCUGGCGGCGUGCUUAACACAUGCAAGUCGAACGGAAAGGCCCUGCUUUUGUGGGGUGCUCGAGUGGCGAACGGGUGAGUAACACGUGAGUAACCUGCCCUUGACUUUGGGAUAACUUCAGGAAACUGGGGCUAAUACCGGAUAGGAGCUCCUGCUGCAUGGUGGGGGUUGGAAAGUUUCGGCGGUUGGGGAUGGACUCGCGGCUUAUCAGCUUGUUGGUGGGGUAGUGGCUUACCAAGGCUUUGACGGGUAGCCGGCCUGAGAGGGUGACCGGCCACAUUGGGACUGAGAUACGGCCCAGACUCCUACGGGAGGCAGCAGUGGGGAAUAUUGCACAAUGGGCGGAAGCCUGAUGCAGAAACGCCGCGUGCGGGAUGACGGCCUUCGGGUUGUAAACCGCUUUCGCCUGUGACGAAGCGCGAGUGACGGUAAUGGGUAAAGAAGCACCGGCUAACUACGUG